UCCACCCCCAUCGUUCUGCCCGGACACUGAGGUCCAGCACCGAGGGCCUUCUGGUGGUUCCCUUGCUGCGAGAAGCCAAGUUACAGGGAACCAGACAGAGGGCCUUCUUGGUGGUGGCACCUGACCUGUGGAACGCCUUCCCACCAGAUGUCAAAGAGAAAAAUAACUACCAGACUUUUAGAAGACAUCUGAAGGCAGACCUGUUUAGGGAAGCUUUUAAUGUUUAUAGGUUAUUGUAUUUUAGUGUUUUGUUGGAAGCCGCCCAGAGUGGCUGGGGAAACCCAGCCAGAUGGGCGGGGUAUAAAUAAUAAAUUAUUAUUAUUAUUAGGGGCCAAGGUCCCUUCGUGAUCCCCCCUCAAUAAAAUAUUUGAGGGGGCUGGGCCCCCACCCCAGAGUUGAUGAGCAUUGCCAUUCAAAGGGUGUGUGUAUCUUGUGAUGGAUUAGGUGGUGCGGGGCUUACCUGCCCCCCCCCAAUAUUUUACUCAAGUUGGCACCUCUGUUUGGAAAGGACCUCAAGGGUCAUUUAGCCAAAAAAAAAAAACCCCAAGAUAAUGCAGGUUUGUUUGUAGGGUGCUUAAGGGCCUUUGCUUGACUGAUGCUGGAUUAGAAGGUUCAUUUCUGUUUGAGGACGCCUCCGAUUUGGGUAGUCGUUCGAAAAGUUUAAACUGCCAACAAGAAGAUCAGUACUUCCGCUAAAGCGAAAAUCAAAUGACAACCUUGGAUAUACAAUUCCAAAAACAUGAAAUGAGCUAUACAGUGGUACCUCGGGUUAAGUACUUAAUUUGUUCAAGAGGUCUGUUCUUAACCUGAAACUGUUCUUAACCUGAAGCACCACAUUAGCUAAUUGGGCCUCCUGCUGCCGCUGCGCCGCCAGAGCACAAUUUCUGUUCUCAUGCUGAAGCAAAGUUCUUAACCUGAGGUACUAUUUCCUGAAGCGUAUGUAACCUGAAGCAUAUGUAACCCGAGGUACCACUGUAUAUUAAUGCUGGUGGUCAACAAAAGAGGUUUAAAGACUCUCUCAAGGCAAAUCUAAAAAAAUGUAGUAUAAACACAGAGAACUGGGAAACACUGGCCUGCGAAUGCUGCAGUUGGAGAACAGCCUUUACCAAAGGUGUCAUGGGCUUUGAAGACACUCGAACUCAGGACACAAGGGAGAAACGUGCUAAGAGGAAGGCACGCUUGGCAAAUCCACACUGUGAUCCACUCCUGCCUGGAAACCAAUGUCCCCACUGUGGAACGACAUGUUGGUCCAGAAUUGGACUCCACAGUCACUUAUGGACUUACUAUUAAAACCGUGUUUAUGGAAGACAAUCUUACUCAGCUAUGAGUGAUCGCCAAAGAAAAUGAUUCUCUUAACAAGUCAUCUCCCCCCCCCCCCAUCUCAAAAUAGACCUUAAAAGAGUACAUACCAAAUCUGUAAUUGCACAUUUUUACAUUUUUAUGCUACCAUGUGUGACUGUCUAAUAAUCAACUUUUUGUUGGUUCACAAAGCCUGAAAAAGACAUAUCACAGCCAAAGGGUUUUGUGAAUGUUCAGCUGUAUGACCAUUCCAGAGUAAUUCGUUGUGCCCAUUUGGUAGAGUGGAUAACCUCAAAUGACAGAUCUGAUUUGGCGUGUCUUAACAGUUUGUGGUUAUGUAACACUGCAGUAGACUACCACAGCUUCCCAUACUAGAGUAAGCAUCUCAACUGACCCAUAACCCUUUUCAGUAUGACAAUAACCAUACGGUAGAAACAGAAUAUAAUUCAGGUUAUAUAAUUAUCUCACAUGGCAGUUACUGAGCCAAAAUAGUACUGCUGGCUUGCUGCAGUAACAAUUGGAAUUUAAUAUAUAUUGAAAUGCAAUAUAUUUUGAAGAGAAUAAUAGGUCUGAAUUUUUAGGGUAUGUUUUAUUAUGCUUCACUGUGGUUCUCUGCAUUUAUUGUAUUUAUCUAAUUUUACAUUCCAGUCCUAAGCACACUUAUUUGGAGGUCAGGCUUAUUGAUGUCAGUGGAACAGUUUUAAGAAAAUGUGCUUAUGUUUGCAGUAAAGGGGCAUACCCACACAAACAAAAAUCAGUGUUUCCAUAGAACUCGUCAAGUGGAAUGCCAGAUCUCAGGGCAUUUCACUUCUUCAAGGCUUGGUUAGGUAUCUGAUCUCUGCUUUGAUAUACAUUAUUCACAUGUGUAAUAAAGGCAACAUGUCUUAAUCAGGUUCAAGAUAGUGAUGUGAAAAUUAAUUUGCUUCAUAGUUUGUUCCCAGGUGGGAAAGUUUUAUCUGAAAUAAAGAGGCAAAUGCUGGAAAUUAAACCAAAGGCCCGAUAAAAAUGGAGAUCCUUAAUACUACUGCAGUAGAACCAAUUAUUAACAGGCAAAGAACAGUGGCUUCACGGUACAAAGGUACAGGUUUUUCUGCUACCAGGGAGGUUCCUUAACUUUAAUUUCAUGUUAAUAUCUAAAACAAUCAGCUACUGCUACUUUACAAAAAGACACACCAAAGAACAUUUCUUGGAUUAAUUCAAAAACAUCUGAUAAUCUAGUUCAGAAAAUAGAGUAUUUAAAACAAUUUUAUUUACAAAAGAUAUGUCUGUCUAGCAUUUGAAUUUCCUGAUAUUUCUCAAGGUAAAGAAAUAACCAGUGGCUUCCCCAUUGAUUGAUUCUUUUUUUAAAAAAAAUAUUUAUUUAUUAUUAUUAAUGCACAAUGAAAAAAGCCAUACAUCAAAACUGAACAAAAAACAAGUACAAAUAAUAAGUAACCCCCCCAAAAAAACACAGCAUUAUAACCAAAAGAAAAAAGGUCUUUUGACUACAGACUUGACCUCUCUUCUACUCCUUAAUUCAAUUACAUAUAACUUAUUGCUGGUAAAAAGUAUUAUCAUGGUUUAACUGAUUCUUGGUUUUUCUUUUAUCUAACUUCAUUCUUGAUACUACUACUGAAAUUAGUCAAAUGCUGCAACAGAGUUUAAACUUCUGUAAUUAUUUUUCAAAUAUAUUUUAAAGACUUACCAUUUUGAAAGAAA
This is a long non-coding RNA of Podarcis raffonei (Aeolian wall lizard), 2997 nucleotides long. RefSeq lists it as uncharacterized. The transcript has 2 exons. The record is from RefSeq and is a predicted model, not a curated record. NCBI's taxonomy places the organism in Eukaryota, Metazoa, Chordata, Lepidosauria, Squamata, Lacertidae.